CUCCGACACAUUCUACAACACUCGGGCCUGUAUUAUAAAACUAACCUCCCUCGAAUGUAAACUGGUACAGCCACUAUGGAAAAUGGAGGAUUCUCAAGAAAUUAAAAAACAGAGCUAGCAUAUGAUCCAGCAAUCUCGCUUCUGGGUAUACAUCGGAAGGAAACAAAAUUAUUACCUCGAAAAGGUGACAGUGUUCAGGACGAGCUACCCCAAAAUAUGGCACUUUGGCAUAUUGAAUAUUUCAAGCUGAAAGAAUUUGAGAAACAACAGGCACAAGAAGGAUUUUCUGACCUUCUCCUGAAGCAAGUCUUAAGCCCUUCAAGUGAGAGGUGCCCUCCCUACACCCGGAAGAAAGGAAUAUCCUUAUCUCCAAAGACAGAGGGGCACCAAGAGC
RNAcentral lists this long non-coding RNA (394 nucleotides) under Equus caballus (horse). Its description in RNAcentral is "lncRNA (ENSECAG00000058213.1)". Lineage: Eukaryota; Metazoa; Chordata; Mammalia; Perissodactyla; Equidae. The record is from RNAcentral.